AUUGAACGCUGGCGGCAUGCUUUACACAUGCAAGUCGAACGGUAACAGGCCUUCGGGUGCUGACGAGUGGCGAACGGGUGCGUAAUGCAUCGGAACGUACCCAGAGGCGGGGGAUAACGCAGCGAAAGCUGUGCUAAUACCGCAUGUGAUCUGAGGUUGAAAGCGGGGGACCGAGCAGCAAUGUUUGGCCUCGCGCCUUUGGAGCGGCCGAUGUCGGAUUAGCUAGUUGGUGGGGUAAAGGCCUACCAAGGCGACGAUCCGUAGCUGGUCUGAGAGGACGAUCAGCCACACUGGAACUGAGACACGGCCCAGACUCCUACGGGAGGCAGCAGUGGGGAAUUUUGGACAAUGGGCGAAAGCCUGAUCCAGCAAUGCCGCGUGCGGGAAGAAGGCCUUCGGGUUGUAAACCGCUUUUGGCAGGAACGAAACGGUGUCCGCUAAUACCGGGCGCUAAUGACGGUACCUGAAGAAUAAGCACCGGCUAACUACGUG
This 492-nucleotide ribosomal RNA is filed under the name uncultured bacterium. RNAcentral describes it as "partial 16S ribosomal RNA". It matches the Rfam family "Bacterial small subunit ribosomal RNA", at positions 30 to 507 of the family's 1533-position model. The record is from RNAcentral.